This 253-nucleotide ribosomal RNA is filed under the name uncultured bacterium. RNAcentral's name for it is "partial 16S ribosomal RNA". It matches the Rfam family "Bacterial small subunit ribosomal RNA", at positions 524 to 776 of the family's 1533-position model. The record is from RNAcentral.
UACGUAGGUGGCAAGCGUUGUCCGGAAUUAUUGGGCGUAAAGCGCGCGCAGGCGGUCCUUUAAGUCUGAUGUGAAAGCCCACGGCUCAACCGUGGAGGGUCAUUGGAAACUGGGGGACUUGAGUACAGAAGAGAAGAGGGGAAUUCCACGUGUAGCGGUGAAAUGCGUAGAGAUGUGGAGGAACACCAGUGGCGAAGGCGACUCUUUGGUCUGUAACUGACGCUGAGGCGCGAAAGCCAGGGGAGCGAACGGG